UGCAAGUCGAACGAGAAAAUCCUGGUCCCGCGCAAGCGGGAUCGGGGUGAGUAAAGUGGCGAACGGGUGAGUAACACGUAGCUAACCUGCCCUUGAGCGGGGGAUAACCUGGGGAAACUCGGGCUAAUACCGCAUGACAUUCCGACUUCACAAGGAGAUGGAAUCAAAGGCCCGCAAGGGUCACUCAAGGAGGGGGCUGCGGCCGAUUAGCUAGUUGGCGGGGUAAUGGCCCACCAAGGCGAUGAUCGGUGGCCGGCCUGAGAGGGCGCACGGCCACACUGGCACUGAAACACGGGCCAGACUCCUACGGGAGGCAGCAGUGGGGAAUUUUGCACAAUGCCCGAAAGGGUGAUGCAGCAACGCCGCGUGAGGGAUGAAGGCCUUCGGGUCGUAAACCUCUUUCGAUCGGGAAAAAUGGGCGGGUGAUGAGCCCGUUCUGAUGGUACCGGAAGAAGAAGCCCCGGCUAACUACGUGCCAGCAGCCGCGGUA
Molecule: ribosomal RNA, 490 nt
Filed under: uncultured bacterium gp13
Lineage: Bacteria
Description: bacterial SSU rRNA
Rfam family: Bacterial small subunit ribosomal RNA
Source: RNAcentral